RNAcentral lists this ribosomal RNA (254 nucleotides) under uncultured bacterium. RNAcentral's name for it is "partial 16S ribosomal RNA". It matches the Rfam family "Bacterial small subunit ribosomal RNA", at positions 524 to 776 of the family's 1533-position model. The record is from RNAcentral.
UACGGGGGGAGCAAGCGUUGUUCGGAUUUACUGGGCGUAAAGGGCGCGUAGGCGGUCGUGACAAGUCACUUGUGAAAUCUCCGGGCUUAACUCGGAACGGUCAAGUGAUACUGUCGGACUAGAGUACAGAAGGGGCAACUGGAAUUCUCGGUGUAGCGGUGAAAUGCGUAGAUAUCGAGAGGAACACCUGCGGCGAAGGCGGGUUGCUGGGCUGAUACUGACGCUGAGUCGCGAAAGCCAGGGGAGCGAACGGC